This 337-nucleotide ribosomal RNA is filed under the name uncultured Bacillota bacterium. RNAcentral's name for it is "bacterial SSU rRNA". It matches the Rfam family "Bacterial small subunit ribosomal RNA", at positions 28 to 351 of the family's 1533-position model. Lineage: Bacteria; Bacillati; Bacillota. The record is from RNAcentral.
GACGAACGCUGGCGGCGUGCCUAAUACAUGCAAGUCGAACGAACGGAGCUAGGAACUUGUUUCCGGCAAAGUUAGUGGCGCACGGGUGAGUAACACGUGGAGAACCUACCCUUUUGCGGGGGAUAACCAUUGGAAACGAUGACUAAUACCGCAUAGAAUCGCAGAUCGCAUGAUCAACGAAGGAAAGACGGCUUCGGCUGUCACAAAAGGAUGGCUCCGCGGUGCAUUAGCUAGAUGGUGGGGUAACGGCCUACCAUGGCAAUGAUGCAUAGCCGACCUGAGAGGGUGAUCGGCCACAUUGGGACUGAGACACGGCCCAAACUCCUACGGGAGGCUG